RNAcentral lists this ribosomal RNA (492 nucleotides) under uncultured bacterium. RNAcentral describes it as "partial 16S ribosomal RNA". It matches the Rfam family "Bacterial small subunit ribosomal RNA", at positions 29 to 507 of the family's 1533-position model. The record is from RNAcentral.
AGUGAACGCUGGCGGUAGGCCUAACACAUGCAAGUCGAACGGCAGCACAGUAAGAGCUUGCUCUUACGGGUGGCGAGUGGCGGACGGGUGAGGAGUACAUCGGAAUCUACUUUUUCGUGGGGGAUAACGUAGGGAAACUUACGCUAAUACCGCAUACGACCUACGGGUGAAAACAGGGGAUCUUCGGACCUUGCGCGAUUGAAUGAGCCGAUGUCGGAUUAGCUAGUUGGCGGGGUAAAGGCCCACCAAGGCGACGAUCCGUAGCUGGUCUGAGAGGAUGAUCAGCCACACUGGAACUGAGACACGGUCCAGACUCCUACGGGAGGCAGCAGUGGGGAAUAUUGGACAAUGGGCGCAAGCCUGAUCCAGCCAUACCGCGUGGGUGAAGAAGGCCUUCGGGUUGUAAAGCCCUUUUGUUGGGAAAGAAAAGCAGCAGGUUAAUACCCCGCUGUUCUGACGGUACCCAAAGAAUAAGCACCGGCUAACUUCGUG